Molecule: long non-coding RNA, 251 nt
Organism: Mugil cephalus (flathead mullet)
Lineage: Eukaryota; Metazoa; Chordata; Actinopteri; Mugiliformes; Mugilidae
Exons: 3
Source: RefSeq, a predicted model, not a curated record
CAGGUACAACAUUUUCAUUUUGGUGCUGUGGAUGACUUCUCAAGAAGGAUCAUGUACCUCGGUGCAGCAAACAACAAUCAGCCCUCAACUGCACUGGCCAUCUUCCAGCAGUCAGUGGAGAGAUAUGGAUUUCCAUCCAGGGUAAGAGCGGAUCGCAGACUCGAGAACGUUGACAUUGCACGGCUGAUGUUCUCUGUCAUGGGAACAGGAAGGUCCAGUUUCAUUGCUGGGAAGAGCGUUCACAUUCAAAG